Molecule: unclassified non-coding RNA, 3591 nt
Filed under: Hevea brasiliensis (rubber tree)
Lineage: Eukaryota; Viridiplantae; Streptophyta; Magnoliopsida; Malpighiales; Euphorbiaceae
Source: RNAcentral
AGAGAGGGGUGUUUUCACCUGCUAAAGAAAGUUUCUUUCUGGUGCCUAACACAUUUGCUGGUAGAAACCAGAAUUCCUUCACAGUUCAUCCAAUAAUAUAGAUUGUGAUUGAUAAUUAUCCUAACUUAUUCAAUCCUUGCUUCUUCUGAAGCUUCCAAUGGGCGUGCGACUAUGGCGUUACGCCAAGGAACAAGCAGCAAGAGGAAGGCUGCCAAUAUUUGAUUUUUCAAAAAAGCGUGUGAUUACUGGUGAUCAUGGCAUUCCUUUAGGUGGCAUUGGUGCAGGAAGCAUUGGAAGAAGCUACAAAGGCCAGUUUCAAUCCUUUAAACUAUUCCCAUUGAUAUGUGGAGAAAGCCCUGUUUUUGCAAAUCAGUUUUCUGUCUUUGUAUCUCGCCCAAAUGGUAAGAAGUUUUCAACUGUAUUAUGUUCAAGCAGGCCAGAGAUACCCAAAGAAAGCAGGAGCUCAGGCAUUGAAUCAUGGGAUUGGAAUCUGGAAGGUGAGAAGUGUACAUACCAUGCUUUGUUUCCAAGGGCCUGGACAACCUAUGAAGGUGAGCCAGACCCAGAACUUAAAAUUGUUUGUCGUCAAAUCUCACCUUUCAUUCCCCACAACUACAAAGAAAGCAGCUUCCCUGUAUCAGUGUUUACAUUUACGCUAUCUAAUCAUGGAAGGACUUCAGCAGAUGUCACCUUGCUGUUUACUUGGGCUAAUUCUGUUGGUGGGGACUCUGGAUUUUCUGGUCAUCACCUCAACUCAAAGAUAGUGAAAGAAGAUGGAGUGCACGUAGUCACUUUAUACCACAAGUCAGCAGAUAGGCAGCCUCCCUUGACUUAUGCCAUUGCAGCACAGGAGACACCUGAUGUACAUGUAUCAGAAUGUCCCUGCUUCCUUAUAUCUGGCAAUUCCCAGGGUUUCACUGCAAAAGAUAUGUGGGAUGAAAUUAAAAGGAACGGGACGUUUGACAACCUAGGCCACGUGAAAACUUUACCUUCAGAACCAGGAUCAUCAAUUGGAGCAGCAGUAGCAGCCUCUUUGACAAUUCCUCCUGAAUGCAUCCGCACUGUAACAUUUUCGUUGGCAUGGGACUGUCCAGAAGUAAGAUUCAGUGAAAGAAGCUAUUACAGGCGUUAUACAAAAUUCUAUGGCACUCUUGGGGAUGCAGCUGCUGAUAUUGCACAUGAUGCUAUUCUUGAGCAUACUAAUUGGGAAUCUCAGAUAGAGGCAUGGCAAAGACCAAUUCUUGAAGACAAGAGGCUUCCUGAAUGGUAUCCUAUCACUCUCUUUAAUGAGCUCUAUUAUCUUAAUUCAGGGGGGACAGUUUGGACAGAUGGAUCACCUCCAUUCCAGAGUUUAGUAAGCAUUGGGGGAAGGAAGUUUUCCCUUGAUAGUUCAGGGGCAGGUUUGAAGAGCAUUAUUGAUGUAGCCCAUCAAAAUGACACUUCUGUUGACAUUCUUGGAAGGAUGACUUCAAUGCUUGAGCAAAUUCAUACUCCCGUUGCAUCAAACUCUGCUUUUGGAACUAAUUUGCUUCAAGAAGGAGAAGAAAACAUUGGUCAAUUCCUUUAUCUUGAAGGGGUAGAAUAUCAAAUGUGGAACACCUAUGAUGUUCAUUUCUAUUCUUCUUUUGCAUUGGUUAUGUUAUUUCCCAAACUUGAACUGUGUGUUCAAAGAGACUUUUCAGCAGCAGUAAUGAUGCACGAUCCCAGUAAGAUGCAACUUCUACAUGAUGGCCGAUGGGUCUGCAGAAAGGUCCUUGGAGCUGUUCCUCAUGAUAUUGGAAUGAAUGAUCCAUGGUUUGAAGUGAAUGCCUAUAACCUUUAUAAUACUGAUACAUGGAAAGACUUGAAUCCAAAAUUUGUUCUCCAAGUUUAUAGGGAUGUGGUUGCCACUGGUGACAAAAAGUUUGCUGAAGCUGUAUGGCCUUCGGUUUAUGUUGCGAUGGCUUUUAUGGACCAAUUUGACAGGGAUGGUGAUGGGAUGAUUGAGAAUGAUGGCUUUCCUGAUCAGACAUAUGAUACAUGGUCUGCAUCUGGUGUGAGUGCAUAUAGUGGUGGGUUAUGGGUGGCAGCCUUGCAGGCCGCAUCAGCCUUGGCAAGAGAAGUUGGCGACAAAGUUUCUGAGGAUUAUUUUUGGUCUAGGUUUCAGAAAGCAAAAGUUGUGUAUGAGAAAUUAUGGAAUGGCUCUUACUUCAAUUACGACAAUAGUGGUAGUAGUAACAGUUCAUCUAUUCAAACUGAUCAAUUGGCUGGACAAUGGUCUGUUUCAUUUGAUGUAACUUCAUUAACCUGUUUUGAAUAUCAAAUGGUUUUGGCUCAUCUGGGAUUUGUUUUUACUAAAAUAUAGAUUUCUUGGUUAGCAUUUGAAGUAUGUUUCUUUUUUUAAAAGCAAAUUAGACCUUAGGCUUGAUAAUUUUAGGCUGGUCUUAUAUUGUGCUGCACAUUAUUGAUGUUUAUGGCAGCAUAUGGUGAUGGGUUAAACUUACGUAAUGAUCAUGUUGUAGGUAUGCGCGAGCAUGUGGACUUCUGCCGAUUGUUGACAAAGAAAAAGCAAGAAGCGCACUAGAAAAGGUUUAUAAUUACAAUGUCUUAAAAGUGAAGGAUGGGAAACUAGGGGCUGUAAAUGGAAUGCUACCUGAUGGAAGAGUUGACCUGACAUCAAUGCAGUCAAGAGAGAUAUGGUCCGGAGUCACAUAUGCUGUUGCUGCAACAAUGAUUCAGGAAGAUUUGACGGAUAUGGCAUUUCAUACUGCAAGUGGGAUCUAUGAAGCUGCUUGGUCUGAAAGGGGACUUGGGUAAAAUACCUUUUCUUUCUUGUUUUUCUUGUACAAUUAAUAUGACUACUAUGAAAACUUUGGCUCUCCGAUAGAGUUAACUAAAACAUGUAAUUAAGAAACCAUGAUCUCUCAUUUUCAGUUUUACCAUACAGUGGCUCAUCUGUUUUCUGUAACACCAUGAGUACUUUUAUCAUGCUUAAAAGAGACAGAAAUGCACGGCACACUUUCACAUACGCUGAUACGCAAAGCUAACUACCUAACAUGCUGUUCUCUUCGUAGUUAUGCGUUCCAAACACCAGAAGGUUGGAACACCGAUGGCCAGUAUAGAUCUCUAUGUUACAUGCGCCCUUUGGCCAUUUGGGCAAUGCAGUGGGCUCUGUCAAGACCAAAACCUGGGAAGGAGGAAAUGAAAUUAGAAGUGAAGGAAGAUUAUCAGCUUCCACACCAUGCUGGAUUUACUAAAGUUGCUCGUCACCUAAGGUUGCCAGAAGAGGAAUCAUCUGUAAGUCUUAUCCAGUCGUUGUUUGACUACACAUGCAAGAAGUUGGGUUAUAGUUGAUUCUUGUAAUUGAUUUUUGUGUAUGGGGACGGAAAUCAUUCAAACACAUCAAAUGCACACUUGCUUUUGUUGUUAGCUAUUUUGAUCUAAGAUUAUUGUUUGAAGCUUUGUUAAAAAGCAAUGUUAUGGAGAAAUUAUUCAAUGUACAUGAACAUUCACAAAUAUAUGGGAUCCGCUUGAAUUGUGGAGGGUGGAUCUCAUAUAGAUGUGAGAGACGAUAUAUUAUUUAUAUAAGUGCAUCUGAUUUUAACUCAAAAA